Molecule: transfer RNA, 89 nt
Filed under: Trametes cingulata
Lineage: Eukaryota; Fungi; Basidiomycota; Agaricomycetes; Polyporales; Polyporaceae
Description: tRNA-Tyr
Rfam family: tRNA
About the family: Transfer RNA (tRNA) molecules are approximately 80 nucleotides in length. Their secondary structure includes four short double-helical elements and three loops (D, anti-codon, and T loops).
Source: RNAcentral
CCUCCGAUAGCUCAGUUGGUAGAGCGCAAGACUGUAAUGGGCUACCUUCUGUCAUCUUGAGGCCGCUAGUUCGAUCCUGGCUCGGAGGA